Molecule: non-coding RNA, 49 nt
Organism: Schistosoma mansoni
Lineage: Eukaryota; Metazoa; Platyhelminthes; Trematoda; Strigeidida; Schistosomatidae
Source: Rfam
AUCCAGCUGACGAGUCCCAAAGUAGGACGAAACGCGCGUCAUACUGGAU